This 391-nucleotide ribosomal RNA is filed under the name Chrysophyceae sp. RNAcentral's name for it is "partial small subunit ribosomal RNA". It matches the Rfam family "Eukaryotic small subunit ribosomal RNA", at positions 582 to 975 of the family's 1831-position model. Lineage: Eukaryota; Chrysophyceae. The record is from RNAcentral.
AUUCCAGCUCCAAUAGCGUAUACUAAAGUUGUUGCAGUUAAAAAGCUCGUAGUUGGAUUUCUGUUAUUAAAAAUCGGUCGUGUCCUCACGGAUUCUGUACCAGGUUUCUUAAUUGCAUCUUCAAGGUUCUGGUAUCUGGUAUUAAUUUAUCGGGUAUUCGGUCCUUGUCAUUUACUGUGAGCAAAAUAGAGUGUUCAAAGCAGGCUUAGGCCAUGAAUACAUUAGCAUGGAAUAAUAAGAUAGGACCUUGGUCUAUUUUGUUGGUUUACAUUCCAAGGUAAUGAUUAAUAGGGAUAGUUGGGGGUAUUUGUAUUCAAUUGUCAGAGGUGAAAUUCUUGGAUUUAUGGAAGACAAACUACUGCGAAAGCAUUUACCAAGGAUGUUUUCAUUG